RNAcentral lists this ribosomal RNA (372 nucleotides) under uncultured organism. RNAcentral's name for it is "partial 16S ribosomal RNA". It matches the Rfam family "Bacterial small subunit ribosomal RNA", at positions 527 to 896 of the family's 1533-position model. The record is from RNAcentral.
GUAGGUGGCAAGCGUUGUCCGGAAUUAUUGGGCGUAAAGCGCGCGCAGGCGGUUCUUUAAGUCUGAUGUGAAAGCCCACGGGCUCAACCGUGGAGGGUCAUUGGAAACUGGAGAACUUGAGUACAGAAGAGGAAAGCGGAAUUCCACGUGUAGCGGUGAAAUGCGUAGAGAUGUGGAGGAACACCAGUGGCGAAGGCGGCUUUCUGGUCUGUAACUGACGCUGAGGCGCGAAAGCGUGGGGAGCAAACAGGAUUAGAUACCCUGGUAGUCCACGCCGUAAACGAUGAGUGCUAAGUGUUAGGGGGUUUCCGCCCCUUAGUGCUGCAGCUAACGCAUUAAGCACUCCGCCUGGGAAGUACGGCCGCAAGGCUG